UACGUAGGGGGCAAGCGUUGUCCGGAUUUAUUGGGCGUAAAGAGCGUGUAGGCGGCCAGGGAGGUCCGCUGUGAAAUCUCGAGGCUCAACUUCGAGCUGUCGGUGGAAACUGUCUGGCUAGAGUCCGGAAGAGGAGAAUGGAAUUCCUGGUGUAGCGGUGAAAUGCGCAGAUAUCAGGAAGAACACCCGUGGCGAAGGCGGUUCUCUGGGACGGUACUGACGCUGAGACGCGAAAGCGUGGGGAGCGAACAGG
This 253-nucleotide ribosomal RNA is filed under the name uncultured bacterium. RNAcentral's name for it is "partial 16S ribosomal RNA". It matches the Rfam family "Bacterial small subunit ribosomal RNA", at positions 524 to 776 of the family's 1533-position model. The record is from RNAcentral.